Long non-coding RNA from Stegodyphus dumicola, 1385 nucleotides. NCBI's taxonomy places the organism in Eukaryota, Metazoa, Arthropoda, Arachnida, Araneae, Eresidae. The record is from RefSeq and is a predicted model, not a curated record.
CAGCACUGUUUACCUUAUUUUCAGGUGGCGUUUGCACAGGAGAUGUAUAAUGGUGGGCUUUUAAUGACAGAUGAGCCUUUGGUGCCAAUUGAUUAGCCAAAAGCAAAAAGUCUUGUCAAAUAUGGAAGUCAACAAUAUUUAUCAUUCUUGUGAAAGAUGAGAAUGAAGGCUUUGACAUUUUGGCAUUCUCCAGGCAGUUAGGCCAUUAAUUACAUCAUCAGUCAUUGUAAUUUCUUAAACAAUUUUUUGGUAAAAUGAAAUAUUUAAUUUUGAAUUAUAAAGCUCUUUUUACCAUCUUAGGUAUGUAAUCAAUCAAAACAUCUAUACUAUCAGUAAACUAUAAAAAGUAAAGUUAUUUCUGUUAAUGUCUAUUGCACAUCAAAAUUUUCAAAUAUUAUGGCCUGGAGAUUUUAUGUGUCAUCUUUCAAAAUAUCGUCAGUGUUUUGUAAUUCAGAGCUUUGUGUCAAAUUGUAAUCUACAGAUUAUUAACAAAAGAAAAAUUACCUGAUUUGAAUACAGGCCUAAUUUUGAUUGGAAUACAUAAAAGAACUGUUUUGACAAGUUGGCAAUCCAUCGUAGUAAAGUAAAACGGAACUACAAUAAAUUUGUUUCAUAAAAUGUAAAUUUAUUAGUUGCCGGACAUAGGAAAUUGUAAGUCACUACAACUGGCCAUUUUUUCAACAAGACAGGAGUAAUUUAAGACAGAGAUGAAAAUGCUGAUGAAAUAGAAAUAUGUCUUAAGACUAUGUAAAUGUUGAUUAAAUACAUUUUCUAAUGUGAUUUGUAUAAUAAAAUGUGUUCUUAUUGUUAUUUGAGAUGGGGUUAAAGGUUCUGUAUCAUUUGUUAAGAUGUUGCAUCUAAUAUGGAAAUGAAAAACUGAAGCUCAAGCAAUUUUUUAACCUAUUUGUUAAAAUUUUGGGUUUUAGAAUUGUUUUAAUCUGUCAGUAAAUUAAUUAUAUGCAUAAUAAAAACAUCUCUCUAUCAUAGAAUGUAUAUAAAACACAAUGAAGUGCUAUUCUGUUCUACGAUGCUUGGUUUUCCAUGCAUAUCCUCACAAUUUUGUUUUCAAACGUGCAGAAUAUUUCUCUGUAAAUAAAUAUAUUACUAAAUUGUCAAUUGAAAUACCAAUUUUUUUUAAUAUCCUGCCAAUUAAUAUAAAAUAUUAUCAUCUACGUAUUUGUAAUGUAUAUGUUACAUAAGCAACGGGAAUAAAUGUUCACCAACACAUUACAGUGAAAUUGUAUACAAGAAUAAAAUGAAUUUGUUAAAAGCACAAAUUUACUGAAGUGCAUUUUGCGUAUCCGUGCAUUUAGAAUUUGUUAUGUAGAAAUCCCUAACAAUGUUUUGUAUACUGCUGUUCAAAUAAAAAGAAAUUACAUGCAGCA